This is a long non-coding RNA of Carassius carassius (crucian carp), 797 nucleotides long. RefSeq lists it as uncharacterized. The transcript has 2 exons. The record is from RefSeq and is a predicted model, not a curated record. NCBI's taxonomy places the organism in Eukaryota, Metazoa, Chordata, Actinopteri, Cypriniformes, Cyprinidae.
ACAUUCUAAAUUCUAAAUUCUAUCUCAAAUGGGGCGGGCGAUAAACCAGUAGACACGAUUAACUUAUAGAAAUUUGUACACUGGUAGAGAUUUUGGACUAUCGUCUCUAUCUAUCUAUUGCUGUGCUACUUGGUCACGAAAGCAUUGUUUGCAAGUGAUUUUAAGCUGCAAGAAAUGCAAUCAGCAGUGAAAGAGAACUCAAACAAGAGGUGCUCUUUAUAGUCCUUGAACGGUUAAAUACACACUUAUAUGUGUCAAAAUGCCCAUCUUUGCAAGAAUCCUCCUAAACACCGUAAUUUAGGUCUUAAGUGAAAGCAAACAGCUGAGAACAAAAACGUGUGUGUAACAGUACAUUGGAUCUGGGAAGCUCUUAAAGUGACAGCAGUCUAAUAUUCCUGCUGUCUGUCAUUCAUGUUAAUCAGACAACAAAAGAGAGAAAACCUCUCACUGCUCUUUACUAAAUCACUUUUGUAACUUUUAUAAGAAGAAAUAUAUUUAAUUUACAAAGUGAAGAAUAUUCAGUGUUUUAUAUAUUUGAUUACUUUAUACAAUGUAUGCAGAACUCCUUAUUUAUUUGUUCCACUGUACUUUUUUGUCCUAUCGCUUGUAAUUAGUUUCUUCUUAUUCUUAUUUAAUCGCUGACUGUUUACUUGUCUUCAGUGAGCUUGAGAAUUGUCUUUUAUUUUAGGCUAAUAUUAGUUUUGUUUUUUUGUGAUAUUGACACUGGUGUCAAGAAUUCUGACAUUUUUAUGGUAUUAAAAAUGAAGAUAUCAUAAAGGGCCUAUUCAAAGCAAAAA